UCCCUAUCCGGCGCGGGCGUAGGAUAUUUGAGAGGAGCUGCCCCUAGUACGAGAGGACCGGGGUGGACGGACCACUGGUGUAUCAGCUGUCGACCAACGGCAUAGCUGAGUAGCCAAGUCUGGACGGGAUAAACGCUGAAGGCAUCUAAGCGUGAAGCCCCCCUCAAGAUGAGAUAUCCCCUCCUUCAAGGAGAUAAGAUCCCUUAAAGACGAUAAGGUAGAUAGGUUCAAGGUGUAAGUGCGGUAACGCAUUCAGCUGAUGAAUACUAAUAGAUCGAAGGUUUAUUCU
This 289-nucleotide ribosomal RNA is filed under the name Pseudobutyrivibrio sp. UC1225. RNAcentral describes it as "23S rRNA. Bacterial LSU". It matches the Rfam family "Bacterial large subunit ribosomal RNA", at positions 2635 to 2925 of the family's 2925-position model. Lineage: Bacteria; Bacillati; Bacillota; Clostridia; Lachnospirales; Lachnospiraceae. The record is from RNAcentral.